Molecule: unclassified non-coding RNA, 333 nt
Filed under: uncultured fungus
Lineage: Eukaryota; Fungi
Description: partial contains small subunit ribosomal RNA, internal transcribed spacer 1, and 5.8S ribosomal RNA
Rfam family: Eukaryotic small subunit ribosomal RNA (bases 1-73)
Source: RNAcentral
UCAAACUUGGUCAUUUAGAGGAAGUAAAAGUCGUAACAAGGUUUCCGUAGGUGAACCUGCGGAAGGAUCAUUAUCGAGUACUUUGAAAAGGGUUGCAGCUGGCCUCUCGGGGCAAGUGCUCGCCCCGCUCAAACAAUCCACUCAAACACCUGUGCACCUUUUUGAACUCGCGAUUUUUUCGGACGAGGGGAUGUCAAAGUCCCUUUGACCGGAGGGGUCACCCGUUCUAUUACAAACACCUUAUUGAGUUUUUGAAUGUAAUUUGGUUGGCUUAAAUAAAAUACAACUUUCAACAACGGAUCUCUUGGCUCUCGCAUCGAUGAAGAACGCAGC